This 465-nucleotide ribosomal RNA is filed under the name uncultured bacterium. Its description in RNAcentral is "partial 16S ribosomal RNA". It matches the Rfam family "Bacterial small subunit ribosomal RNA", at positions 338 to 795 of the family's 1533-position model. The record is from RNAcentral.
CCUACGGGUGGCAGCAGUGGGGAAUCUUGCGCAAUGGGCGAAAGCCUGACGCAGCGACGCCGCGUGAGGGAUGAAGGUCUUCGGAUCGUAAACCUCUGUCAGCAGGGAAGAACGGUCACUGUGCUAAUCAGCAGUGACUUGACGGUACCUGCAACGGAAGCACCGGCUAACUCCGUGCCAGCAGCCGCGGUAAUACGGAGGGUGCGAGCGUUAAUCGGAAUUCCUGGGCGUAAAGCGCUCGUAGGCGGUAUGGCAAGUCAAGGGGGAAAUCCCCGCGCGUAACGGAGGGACUGCCUUUGAAACUGGCAAACUGGAGUGUGUGAGAGGAUAGUGGAAUUCCAGGUGUAGGAGUGAAAUCCGUAGAUAUCUGGAGGAACAUCAGUGGCGAAGGCGACUAUCUGGCACAUAACUGACGCUGAGGAGCGAAAGCGUGGGUAGCAAACAGGAUUAGAUACCCCAGUAGUC